Molecule: non-coding RNA, 120 nt
Organism: Glycine soja
Lineage: Eukaryota; Viridiplantae; Streptophyta; Magnoliopsida; Fabales; Fabaceae
Source: Rfam
UUCUUAUUGGAUGAUGAAUGUCAUGUGUCAUGUUUUGAUUGGAUAAUGACAACAAUAAUGCAUUUUAUUUUUCAUGAAUUUGAUAUUCAAUCAUAACAUAACACGUGACACUCAUCUAAU